UACGGGGGGAGCAAGCGUUGUUCGGAUUUACUGGGCGUAAAGGGCGCGUAGGCGGCCACCGCAAGUCAGUUGUGAAAUCUCUGGGCUUAACCCAGAAAGGUCAACUGAUACUGCGGGGCUAGAGUGCAGAAGGGGCAACUGGAAUUCUCGGUGUAGCGGUGAAAUGCGUAGAUAUCGAGAGGAACACCUGCGGCGAAAGCGGGUUGCUGGGCUGACACUGACGCUGAUGCGCGAAAGCUAGGGGAGCGAACGGG
Molecule: ribosomal RNA, 254 nt
Filed under: uncultured bacterium
Lineage: Bacteria
Description: partial 16S ribosomal RNA
Rfam family: Bacterial small subunit ribosomal RNA
Source: RNAcentral